RNAcentral lists this ribosomal RNA (300 nucleotides) under uncultured Lactobacillus sp. RNAcentral's name for it is "bacterial SSU rRNA". The stretch from base 52 to 300 matches the Rfam family "Bacterial small subunit ribosomal RNA", at positions 547 to 795 of the family's 1533-position model. The record is from RNAcentral. Lineage: Bacteria; Bacillati; Bacillota; Bacilli; Lactobacillales; Lactobacillaceae.
UGAAAUGCGGGGCCAGAGAGCGAGGUAAUAAGGAGGGUGGAAGGGUGAAUAGGGAUGACUGGGCGUAAAGGGCACGCAGGCGGUUGGAUAAGUUAGAUGUGAAAGCCCCGGGCUCAACCUGGGAAUUGCAUUUAAAACUGUCCAGCUAGAGUCUUGUAGAGGGGGGUAGAAUUCCAGGUGUAGCGGUGAAAUGCGUAGAGAUCUGGAGGAAUACCGGUGGCGAAGGCGGCCCCCUGGACAAAGACUGACGCUCAGGUGCGAAAGCGUGGGGAGCAAACAGGAUUAGAUACCCCGGUAGUC